RNAcentral lists this non-coding RNA (1016 nucleotides) under Trichomonas vaginalis G3. RNAcentral describes it as "Eukaryotic large subunit ribosomal RNA". It matches the Rfam family "Eukaryotic large subunit ribosomal RNA", at positions 1817 to 3041 of the family's 3401-position model. Lineage: Eukaryota; Parabasalia; Trichomonadida; Trichomonadidae. The record is from Rfam by way of RNAcentral.
GCGAAAAAUAGGUUUACUGUGUCACUCGUACCGAUAACCGCAUCAGGUCUUCUAGGUAAGUAGCUUAUGGCCAUUGAGGCAUGAUAGUUCAGGGAAUUCGGCCAAUUAGAGCUGUAACUUCGGGAUAAAGCUUGGCUCUGAUGAAAAUCAGAACCGAUUGUUACGCGGAGAGCCCAACUGUUUAAUAAAAACGUAGUGUCGCGCUGUGGUAGUAUAGCCAGUGAACGCGACAUGAAUCCUGCUCAGUGCUGUGUCUGUUAAUAUGGUUCAAGCCAACGAAGCACCGGUAAAUAGCUGGGGUAACUAUGACUCUUAUCAAAGUAGCGAAAUACCUCGUCACUUAAUUAGUGACCUGCAUGAACGGAGCUAUGAGGUUCUCACUGUCCCAAACUGUCUCUCAGCGAACCAACUGUAGUGGGAACGGUCACUAGAUAUCCAGCGGGGAAAGAAGACCCUGUAGAGCUUCACUUUGGUCUAGUCUUGUAUAGUUCCUGCGGGGGUGUAGACUAGGUGGGAGAGCAAUCGAUUCUGAAAAACCACUACCCUGUUUGGAAUUAUGCUUACCUAUCACAAGGAAUAGGACUAGAUAGAAAGUUUGGCUGGGGCGGCACACCUUCGAAAGAGCAGCGAAGGUGUCCUAAGUUGAGCUCAGUGAGGACAGAAAUCUCACGUUGAGGAUAAGGCCAAAAGCUCAAUUUACUGUGCCUUUUUGUACUAGGAUCAGUUACGAAAGUAAGGCCUAACGAUCCCUAAAUAGCCUCAGGUGCGUGAGGAUUGGGGUGACAGACAAGUUACCUCCGGGACAACUGGCUUGUGGCUGCUAAGAGAUCAAAUCAACGCAGCUUUUUGAUUCUUCGAUGUCGGCUCUUCCUAUCCUAGUGAUGUACAAGUUGCUAAGGGUCGGAUUGUUCACCCGUAUUAGGGAUCGUGAGCUGGGUUUAGACCGUCGUGAGCCAGGUUUGUUUUAUCCUACUGGAUAUAGCAUCAUGAUAGUAGAUUGAUUUAGUACGAGGAGG